Molecule: ribosomal RNA, 200 nt
Filed under: uncultured bacterium
Lineage: Bacteria
Description: partial 16S ribosomal RNA
Rfam family: Bacterial small subunit ribosomal RNA
Source: RNAcentral
ACGCUCGACACCUACUGGAGGCAGCAGUUGGGAAUAUUGGACAAUGGAGGAAACUCUGAUCCAGUGACGCCGCGUGAAGGAAGAAGGUCUUCGGAUUGUAAACUUAUUUUGUCAGGGAAGAAAAAAUGACUGUACCUGAAGAAAAAGCACCGGCUAACUACGUGCCAGUAGCCGCGGUAAUCUGAGCGGGCUGGCAAGGC